GUAGGCGGUUUGUCGCGUCUGCUGUGAAAGCCCGGGGCUUAACCCCGGGUGUGCAGUGGGUACGGGCAGACUAGAGUGCAGUAGGGGAGACUGGAAUUCCUGGUGUAGCGGUGAAAUGCGCAGAUAUCAGGAGGAACACCGAUGGCGAAGGCAGGUCUCUGGGCUGUUACUGACGCUGAGAAGCGAAAGCAUGGGGAGCGAACAGGAUUAGAUACCCUGGUAGUCCAUGCCGUAAACGUUGGGCACUAGGUGUGGGGGACAUUCCACGUUUUCCGCGCCGUAGCUAACGCAUUAAGUGCCCCGCCUGGGGAGUACGGCCGCAAGGCUAAAACUCAAAGGAAUUGACGGGGGCCCGCACAAGCGGCGGAGCAUGCGGAUUAAUUCGAUGCAACGCGAAGAACCUUACCAAGGCUUGACAUGGACCGGACCGCUGCAGAGAUGUAGCUUCCCUUCGGGGCUGGUUCACAGGUGGUGCAUGGUUGUCGUCAGCUCGUGUCGUGAGAUGUUGGGUUAAGUCCCGCAACGAGCGCAACCCUUGUCCUAUGUUGCCAGCACGUAAAGGUGGGGACUCAUGGGAGACUGCCGGGGUCAACUCGGAGGAAGGUGGGGAUGACGUCAAAUCAUCAUGCCCCUUAUGUCUUGGGCUUCACGCAUGCUACAAUGGCCGGUACAGUGGGUUGCGAUACUGUGAGGUGGAGCUAAUCCCUAAAAGCCGGUCUCAGUUCGGAUCGAAGUCUGCAACUCGACUUCGUGAAGUUGGAGUCG
RNAcentral lists this ribosomal RNA (765 nucleotides) under uncultured bacterium. Its description in RNAcentral is "bacterial SSU rRNA". It matches the Rfam family "Bacterial small subunit ribosomal RNA", at positions 571 to 1334 of the family's 1533-position model. The record is from RNAcentral.